CCUACGGGUGGCUGCAGUGAGGAAUAUUGGUCAAUGGGCGCGAGCCUGAACCAGCCAAGUCGCGUGAGGGAAGACGGCCCUACGGGUUGUAAACCUCUUUUGCCGGGGAGCAACGGGCGCCACGUGUGGCGCCACUGAGAGUACCCGGAGAUAAAGCAUCGGCUAACUCCGUGCCAGCAGCCGCGGUAAUACGGAGGAUGCGAGCGUUAUCGGGAUUUAUGGGGUUAAAGGGGUGCGUAGGCGGAGGGUUAAGUCAGCGGGCAAAGUGGGGGGCUAAACCCCUUCCCGCCAUUGAAACUGGCGCUCUUGAGUGGAAGAGAAGUAUGCGGAAUUCGUGGUGUAGCGGUGAAAUGCAUAGAUAUCACGCAGAACCCCGAUUGCGAAGGCAGCAUGCGGGCUUCCUACUGACGCUGAAGCACGAAGGCGUGGGGAUCGAACAGGAUUAGAUACCCUAGUAGUC
This 460-nucleotide ribosomal RNA is filed under the name uncultured bacterium. RNAcentral's name for it is "partial 16S ribosomal RNA". It matches the Rfam family "Bacterial small subunit ribosomal RNA", at positions 338 to 795 of the family's 1533-position model. The record is from RNAcentral.